GGGUUGUGAGGUUAAGCGACUAAGCGUACACGGUGGAUGCCCGGCAGUCAGAGGCGAUGAAGGACGUGCUAAUCUGCGAUAAGCGUCGGUAAGGUGAUAUGAACCGUUAUAACCGGCGAUUUCCGAAUGGGGAAACCCAGUGUGAUUCGUCACACUAUCAUUAACUGAAUCCAUAGGUUAAUGAGGCGAACCGGGGGAACUGAAACAUCUAAGUACCCCGAGGAAAAGAAAUCAACCGAGAUUCCCCCAGUAGCGGCGAGCGAACGGGGAGCAGCCCAGAGCCUGAAUCAGUGUGUGUGUUAGUGGAAGCGUCUGGAAAGGCGCGCGAUACAGGGUGACAGCCCCGUACACAAAAAUGCACAUGCUGUGAGCUCGAUGAGUAGGGCGGGACACGUGGUAUCCUGUCUGAAUAUGGGGGGACCAUCCUCCAAGGCUAAAUACUCCUGACUGACCGAUAGUGAACCAGUACCGUGAGGGAAAGGCGAAAAGAACCCCGGCGAGGGGAGUGAAAAAGAACCUGAAACCGUGUACGUACAAGCAGUGGGAGCACGCUUAGGCGUGUGACUGCGUACCUUUUGUAUAAUGGGUCAGCGACUUAUAUUCUGUAGCAAGGUUAACCGAAUAGGGGAGCCGAAGGGAAACCGAGUCUUAACUGGGCGUUAAGUUGCAGGGUAUAGACCCGAAACCCGGUGAUCUAGCCAUGGGCAGGUUGAAGGUUGGGUAACACUAACUGGAGGACCGAACCGACUAAUGUUGAAAAAUUAGCGGAUGACUUGUGGCUGGGGGUGAAAGGCCAAUCAAACCGGGAGAUAGCUGGUUCUCCCCGAAAGCUAUUUAGGUAGCGCCUCGUGAAUUCAUCUCCGGGGGUAGAGCACUGUUUCGGCAAGGGGGUCAUCCCGACUUACCAACCCGAUGCAAACUGCGAAUACCGGAGAAUGUUAUCACGGGAGACACACGGCGGGUGCUAACGUCCGUCGUGAAGAGGGAAACAACCCAGACCGCCAGCUAAGGUCCCAAAGUCAUGGUUAAGUGGGAAACGAUGUGGGAAGGCCCAGACAGCCAGGAUGUUGGCUUAGAAGCAGCCAUCAUUUAAAGAAAGCGUAAUAGCUCACUGGUCGAGUCGGCCUGCGCGGAAGAUGUAACGGGGCUAAACCAUGCACCGAAGCUGCGGCAGCGACGCUUAUGCGUUGUUGGGUAGGGGAGCGUUCUGUAAGCCUGCGAAGGUGUGCUGUGAGGCAUGCUGGAGGUAUCAGAAGUGCGAAUGCUGACAUAAGUAACGAUAAAGCGGGUGAAAAGCCCGCUCGCCGGAAGACCAAGGGUUCCUGUCCAACGUUAAUCGGGGCAGGGUGAGUCGACCCCUAAGGCGAGGCCGAAAGGCGUAGUCGAUGGGAAACAGGUUAAUAUUCCUGUACUUGGUGUUACUGCGAAGGGGGGACGGAGAAGGCUAUGUUGGCCGGGCGACGGUUGUCCCGGUUUAAGCGUGUAGGCUGGUUUUCCAGGCAAAUCCGGAAAAUCAAGGCUGAGGCGUGAUGACGAGGCACUACGGUGCUGAAGCAACAAAUGCCCUGCUUCCGGAAAAGCCUCUAAGCAUCAGGUAACAUCAAAUCGUACCCCAAACCGACACAGGUGGUCAGGUAGAGAAUACCAAGGCGCUUGAGAGAACUCGGGUGAAGGAACUAGGCAAAAUGGUGCCGUAACUUCGGGAGAAGGCACGCUGAUAUGUAGGUGAAGUCCCUCGCGGAUGGAGCUGAAAUCAGUCGAAGAUACCAGCUGGCUGCAACUGUUUAUUAAAAACACAGCACUGUGCAAACACGAAAGUGGACGUAUACGGUGUGACGCCUGCCCGGUGCCGGAAGGUUAAUUGAUGGGGUCAGCGCAAGCGAAGCUCUUGAUCGAAGCCCCGGUAAACGGCGGUACCGUAACUAUAACGGUCCUAAGGUAGCGAAAUUCCUUGUCGGGUAAGUUCCGACCUGCACGAAUGGCGUAAUGAUGGCCGUGGCUGUCUCCACCCGAGACUCAGUGAAAUUGAACUCGCUGUGAAGAUGCAGUGUACCCGCGGCAAGACGGAAAGACCCCGUGAACCUUUACUAUAGCUUGACACUGAACAUUGAGCCUUGAUGUGUAGGAUAGGUGGGAGGCUUUGAAGUGUGGACGCCAGUCUGCAUGGAGCCGACCUUGAAAUACCACCCUUUAAUGUUUGAUGUUCUAACGUGGACCCGUGAUCCGGGUUGCGGACAGUGUCUGGUGGGUAGUUUGACUGGGGCGGUCUCCUCCUAAAGAGUAACGGAGGAGCACGAAGGUUGGCUAAUCCUGGUCGGACAUCAGGAGGUUAGUGCAAUGGCAUAAGCCAGCUUGACUGCGAGCGUGACGGCGCGAGCAGGUGCGAAAGCAGGUCAUAGUGAUCCGGUGGUUCUGAAUGGAAGGGCCAUCGCUCAACGGAUAAAAGGUACUCCGGGGAUAACAGGCUGAUACCGCCCAAGAGUUCAUAUCGACGGCGGUGUUUGGCACCUCGAUGUCGGCUCAUCACAUCCUGGGGCUGAAGUAGGUCCCAAGGGUAUGGCUGUUCGCCAUUUAAAGUGGUACGCGAGCUGGGUUUAGAACGUCGUGAGACAGUUCGGUCCCUAUCUGCCGUGGGCGCUGGAGAACUGAGGGGGGCUGCUCCUAGUACGAGAGGACCGGAGUGGACGCAUCACUGGUGUUCGGGUUGUCAUGCCAAUGGCACUGCCCGGUAGCUAAAUGCGGAAGAGAUAAGUGCUGAAAGCAUCUAAGCACGAAACUUGCCCCGAGAUGAGUUCUCCCUGACUCCUUGAGAGUCCUGAAGGAACGUUGAAGACGACGACGUUGAUAGGCCGGGUGUGUAAGCGCAGCGAUGCGUUGAGCUAACCGGUACUAAUGAACCGUGAGGCUUAACCUUACAACGCCGAAG
This 2926-nucleotide ribosomal RNA is filed under the name Escherichia coli. RNAcentral's name for it is "23S ribosomal RNA". It matches the Rfam family "Bacterial large subunit ribosomal RNA". The record is from RNAcentral. Lineage: Bacteria; Pseudomonadati; Pseudomonadota; Gammaproteobacteria; Enterobacterales; Enterobacteriaceae.